CUUCCAGGCUGGUAGUGAUUGUGAAACCUUAGCUGAAAUUGCCAUUCCCUGUGUCCUUUUUCCAAAUGGAGACUGUGCCCAGAAAUCCCUGGCCAGCAGCACCAGAGCAGGUGCAGACUUCUUGGGAAACGUAGUCUCCCCACAAGCCCUUAUUCAGAAUUCACCUAUUCCCAGAGCAGCAGCAUGCUCUAUUCCAGGAACCUGUCACAAGAAGCCAAAAAUGACCAUGUGCUGUGCAGAACUAGCUUCUGUUGCACCUGCUUAAAGAGGUAGAACGUAUCAGGAAGAAAAAUGGAGAAGAGAACCUGACAAGAUCAUGUUAGGACCAGAGAGCCUGCAUGGCUGCACUGUGGGCGGCCACCGAUCUAGUCUCUGCCUUCACAAUGCAGAUCGAAGUGUGAUAAAGUGUGUAGGUCACGGUCAUGAGUAGCUGAGUGCUGGCUGUUACAUGAAAGUUGAUGUUCUCUACUAGCAGCUACUGUUUGUUUUUCGCUGUUGACACAGAGCUGAGAUGUUGUGUCUUGUUACUAGCUCUACACAGAAAGUGCUACUUCCUUACUUGGUGCGUGCAAAUAUUUACUGGAUCUUUGGACAACCAGGUGGAUCAGUCCAAAGGAGACACUCAGAGAAGUACAUUCAGUAGGGUAACUCCAAGGUCAUGUCUAAGCUGCUACCAGUUUUUCUGUGUUGUCACUGCAUGGAAAUAAUAAGCAUGACAAGGAAAAUGUUAACCCUUGUUGUCUACUACAACUUUUAGAGGAACUGAGAAGCUUGUAAUUCAGUUUCUUGGCCUUAAUUGUUCAAAAGCAAACAUUUUUUUUUUUUCUUCUUCUUUGUAUUAAUUGAGCAAUCAUCUCCAAAAAUGAGACCUUCAGGACCUGUCAAGUUGAUGUGUUGUGAUUAGAAUUACUCAUCACUUUGUUUUUACAUAUGUCACUCUUUAAGUAUUUUGUUUAUAUUGAUAGAUCCAGUGUGAACAUAACUUGUUGUAAAUUUAUUUUAAAUUAUACCUAUUUUGUAAUAAGCCACUUUUUGACACCCAUAUUAGUUUGGCUGAGAAGUGUGAAAUAGUUUAAUUGCUAUUAUAUUAUUCCAGAGUAUAUCAAAAUUGUUUUAAUUAUGCAGGGCUUUGAAUAAUUUGUUAUUUCAUAUUCCUUUGAAGCCUUUCCUCCACAAGUAGUGUGACUUAAAAAAUAUGAAAGUUGUUAUACUAAAGUAUUCUGGAUUACAAUGCAGUUUGAAAAUGCAAUUCCUUGAGAGGAUUCAAAAUUUGAAAAUUCAAGAAAGCAAGUUUUAAAAGCAUUUUAAAAACUAUUUUAAGCACUAAUUUUAAAAACUAUGUCACAAUUUAUUUGUGAAAUCUUUCUCUUAACUGCAAAUUGUUAUCUAACACAGCCAUAACUGUUUGAAUCUGGGGACUUUGACUUCUUCAUGGUGUAUGGAUUAUCAGUCUCACAGACGAGAUCUUACUCCACAUAGCCCCUCUGUAGAAUCAGGUUAAGUGCAGUGUCUGAAAUAGCAGACCACUUUUGCAUAUGCAGUUUAGGAAAUUAAGUUAGGAACAGGCUUGCUGCUGUAGUAAUUUUACUGCUUUAAUACAUAAUACAUAAUAAAUUAAAUUUGUAUUACUUAAUGAUAGGCUUCUGUGAAAUAUUUUAAUAAAACAAAUACAGGAAGGUAACUCGCCUGUUGAAACACUUGUUAUUUUAUGAUAAAGUUAAGCUAUGAAUUACUACAUGUACUGUUUUAGAGGUUAUUUAGUGUAAGAACUGGAAUAGAUUUACUUAAUGCUGAUAUAAGAAAUUAUUCCUUGUCUUACAAUAAUUUCCAGAGAUUUUAAUAAAUAUCUGAUACUUUUGAAAAUGAAAACAUUGUCAUUCUCACUAAGUAGCUGUACCUCCUGUUGCUCCAUUUGCUGUCAUUUCAACAAAACACUUAAGAUCUAUAAAUCCAACAUGAUGAGCAUUUAUGUUUAUGUGUAAAUGUAUGUUUGGAAGGCAUAUGAACAUUUCUUUUGGAGAAACUGCCUGGACUGUAAAAUGUGGCUUCUCAGUAACAGAGGCACCAGAUGCUGUCUGCAUUAUAUCGUACUUGUGUGAUGGUGUUUUUUUUUUUUUUUUUUCUUUUUUUUUUUUUUCUUUCACGUAGAUUUUGUACUUGCACUGGGACUAACAUGAUUUUUUUUCAGAAAAUCAGAGCAAAUGGUGGGUGGGAACACACUGAUGCCACAUCCUUGAACUCCUUUGUGUGCUAAGAACAAUGUCUCUUUUAAACAGAACAUAUAUCUUAAAUAAACCUGGAAGAAUUAAAAAGGGUAAAAAAUAAAAAAAUCGGAGA
This is a long non-coding RNA of Anas platyrhynchos (mallard), 2337 nucleotides long. RefSeq lists it as uncharacterized. The record is from RefSeq and is a predicted model, not a curated record. NCBI's taxonomy places the organism in Eukaryota, Metazoa, Chordata, Aves, Anseriformes, Anatidae.